GGUCAAGGGGAAGAAAAAUAAAUACAAAAAUCCGCGCGCGCAGAAUCAAGUCAUUUCGGACCCGUUUUGUAAACAAAUCACACUUGCAUUUAUACAAUGGCGCAGCAGAUCGACUACGUCGGCCAUAAAGAUGACACGUACGUGAUUUCAGAGGGUUUAUCUGUCGCAGACAGCAGCAGUAAAGUGGAAGAUGAUGGAGAAGGAGACAGCGACGCGCCUGCUAUUUUUCUGUGUGGAAAAUGCAGGUUGCCUUUCGGCGAUUCGCUCUCAUGGGCCGGGAGCGACGACCAGCAGAAUCAGAUCCUGUUAAAGUGUGUUAAUGACAACAUCGUGAUUGGCAAAGAACCUUUUGUCUCUGGUACAAGUGAAGAACAACGAUGCCUUGCUGUGCAUCUCACGUGUCGUGGUUGCAGCUUCAAACUUGGACAUAUGUACAUGUCCACUCCAAAGUCACUGGACUACAAAAGGUCCAUUUUCUGCCUCAUGGUUGAAAAUAUUGAGAGUUAUGUUUUAGGCUCUCCUGACCAGCAGGUGGCAGCAGUGGACAGAGAAGAAAGGCCUGUGACAUUGGAAUACAUGGACAAUGUUGAGCAACAGAUGACCAAGAUAAAAUCUCUAGCAGUGACGAUAGGACAGCGGCUCUUGGAGAUCGAGGUUGACCUCCAGUGCAAGUCUGGGACAACUUAACGUGAGCUGCACUUCGCCUAGAGAUGUUCUUCAGCUGUUUGUUUUCUGUUCCUGCCACAUGACUUUGCUACAAUUUUCUGGAUUAAAACAGAAGACCCCAACCCCAACUUCUCCUCCCAUCACAGUUUUCAUAAUUUCAAUCUAAUGUGCCUAGCAACACUUUAUGCCAGAAAGGCAGACAGAUCCUCCCGAACCCUCCCAAUCUCAAGAGCUGGAGCAGCAUAACAACAGCGGCACGCAUGUUGAAAUCAAUCUGCACAGACCAACCAGUGGCCUGUAUCCAAGGCCUGGCUGCCAUGGAAACAGGCUACUAUGCUGCAUGCCUGUUACCACGGUGCUGACCGUUUCCUGGAUUCAGAGCCAGCCAGCCAGCUCGCUCGAUUGCCUGUCUGUCAUCCAGAGGGGUGGAGUCACUGCUUCUCUAAUCCCCAAGGGUGUUUUUCUGUCUCCUCUUCAACUGUUCCCUCUUUUCUCUUCCCCCUCCUUUCCUCAGUCUCUCUCAUGCUCUCUCUCCCAUCCCUAAAUAGGAAAAAAAAGACUUGCCAGUUUAGGAAAGGUAAAACAAAAGAGAAAAUAAUCAGACAGAAUGUCUUGGAUGGCAAUACGAGCCCUUUUUCCCAUCAGGCAUCGUUCCUCCAGCAGCUACAAUGUGUGUUUUUGAGACCACUGUCCAGAUGUUGGGGUGCAGCCUUUUGUCCUGGGAUUUUUCUUCCAGUCUCAUUAUUCUGCCCAGCACGCCACACAGUCAUUUUGAUUAAUGUGCUUGGCCCUACAUCUGGGCGUUGUGUCCCGCUGAAGGUGAACUGCUGAUGCUUGCCGCUUUUUAGUGCGAUCGAUGCAGACUGAUCACCUCCCCGUUCACAUACGUCCUCUCGCUCCUUCACCUCAAGAACCAAAUGCACUCAGGCAUGGACAUGUUGCAUGGUGAUAAAUAAUGUAGACAGGCCGGUGGAGGAAGGUUACCUCUCUUCUGAAGCAAUCAGAGAGUAACUGCAGCUGUUGCACAUAGGAAUAGGACCUGUAACUGAAACAAGAUGUCCAGUCAUCAUUCCAGUUCAUCCCAAAGGUGUUCAGGGGGGUUGAGGUCAGGGCUCUGUGCAGGCCACCUGAAUUUUUUCACUCAAAUCUUGGCAAACCAUAUCUUUAUGGAGCUCACUUUGUGCACAGGGGCAUUGUCGUACUGGAACAGGUUUGCUCCUCUGAGUUCCGGUGAAGGGAAACUGUAAUGCUACAGUAUAAACUAACAAGCGAAGCUUCCAACUUUGUGGCAACAAUUUGGUGAAGGCCCACAUAUGGCUGUGAUGAUUAGGUAUCCAUAAACUUUUGUCCAUAUAGUGUAUCUCAAAAUAUUAUGUCAUCUGCUGUAGAAUCUCAUUCCACAAUCAAAUCCUUUGUCAAAGAAACUUACUUCCCUCAACUGGAAAAGCCCUUCAUAAACAGGAUUAGUGGCAGUCGAUUUCUGAGCCUGAACAGAUUGAGUAGGAAGAGCGGACACUACACAGUGAGGGGCCAAUGGCCUGAUGUUGACUAAUGAAGAUUGUAGUCAUGCCGACAGGCAGGAAAAGCUUACAAGCUUACACCUAGACUGCAGAGUUUAAGCCAGGAAAGUCACAAAACCAUCAUCUUGCCAGUGCUUGGUGUUCUUUACUCCCCCUUUCUGCUGCUGUGCAUUAGUCAAUGACUUUUUUCAAGAUGCGUGAUGCGUGUGUUUGGGGAGGCAUCCAAUUUUAGUGGUUCGGUGUGUGUAUAGAGACUGAUUAGAUUAACUGUGUUACUGGCGUAGUAGUUUGUGAAAUAUCAGUUAAAGUUUUUUUUUUAGUUUUUUUUAUUUUUUUUUUUUAUCUUUCUUAGUCCAACUCCAACCCACUCCACCAAUUUAUUUGAUUGCAAUACAUUUAAAUUAACAUAAUGGGCCAGUUUUUUUUUUUUUUUUUUAAAUAAA
This is an RNA transcript of Ictalurus punctatus (channel catfish), 2629 nucleotides long. It is a transcript of the gene named MIS18 kinetochore protein A, with no coding region annotated. The transcript is spliced from 6 exons. The record is from RefSeq and is a predicted model, not a curated record. Lineage: Eukaryota; Metazoa; Chordata; Actinopteri; Siluriformes; Ictaluridae.